RNAcentral lists this ribosomal RNA (468 nucleotides) under uncultured bacterium. RNAcentral describes it as "partial 16S ribosomal RNA". It matches the Rfam family "Bacterial small subunit ribosomal RNA", at positions 28 to 507 of the family's 1533-position model. The record is from RNAcentral.
GAUGAACGCUGGCGGCGUGCUUAACACAUGCAAGUCGAACGGAAAGGCUCCAGCUUGCUGGAGUACUCGAGUGGCGAACGGGUGAGUAACACGUGGGUGAUCUGCCCUGCACUUCGGGAUAAGCCUGGGAAACUGGGUCUAAUAGCGGAUAGGACCGCACUCUGGUGUGUGUGGUGGAAAGGUUUUUCUGGUGUGGGAUGAGCUCGCGGCCUAUCAGUUUGUUGGUGGGGUAAUGGCCUACCAAGACGGCGACGGGUAGCCGGCCUGAGAGGGUGGACGGGCACAUUGGGACUGAGAUACGGCCCAGACUCCUCCGGGAGGCAGCAGUGGGGAAUAUUGCACAAUGGGGGAAACCCUGAUGCAGAGACGCCACGUGGGGGAUGAAGGCCUUCGGGUUGUAAACUCCUUUCGCUAGGGACGAAGCUUUUUGUGACGGUACCUGGAUAAGAAGCACCGGCUAACUACGUG